This is a long non-coding RNA of Phacochoerus africanus (Common warthog), 1418 nucleotides long. RefSeq lists it as uncharacterized. The transcript is spliced from 2 exons. NCBI's taxonomy places the organism in Eukaryota, Metazoa, Chordata, Mammalia, Artiodactyla, Suidae. The record is from RefSeq and is a predicted model, not a curated record.
CCAAUUACGGUUUUAAAAUUUUAAACGGUAUGUAUAUUAUGACCCCAUUUUGGGGAGAGAAAGUUAUGUGCGUGUGUGCGUGUGUUUGUGUUUGUGGCGUAUGUCAGAGGUUCUCAAACGCUGGCACACUUCAGAAUCAUCUGUAGUCCUUGAUAAGAUGUAGAUUGCUGGGUCCCAACCAUAGAGUUUCUUUUCUUUUUCCAUAGAGUUUCUUGUUCAGUAGGUCUGAGUUGAUGCCUGAGGAUUUGCUUUUCUAAUCAGUUUCCAGAUACUGAUGCUCUUAGUCUGGGAACCACAUUUAAAGAACUGUGGUAAGAGAGAAAAGCAUAGAAAAAAGUCUGCAAGAAUAAUGCACCAUAAUGUUAAUAGUGGUUACCUCAUUCCUGGGUUACGGGAUUACAAGGGCUUUUUAUUUUUACUUUUAUACCUUUCUGUAUUUUUCCCCAGUGACUGAGUAUUACUGUUGUCAUCAGAAGAAACAGCAUUUAAUAUUUUUCAGAUGUUCUAGUAUUUCUAUUCUCAUAGCACAUAGAGUUUCUAUUGUUCUCUAUUGUUUAGUCUUAUACUACUCCCAUUAUAAAUAAAAAAGUUUCGAGAAUUCAGCGUUUUGUGUCUUUUGUCUUUUAUUUUGUCUUCCCAAGAAGUGAGUGUUUAGCAAGGUGUAUUUGUCACGUGGAGUUCUUAUUUCAGUUGUGGUGCUAAACAUGAAAUGUUCAGUAGGUUCUCAGAGGCUCAGUUAGUUAGAAUAUCAUAUUCUUUUUUGCCAUAUCCCCUCUCUUAAGACCCAACAGGAUCCUAUUUCAUGAAUACAGAUAGUGUUUGAUCUGCCUUUGGAAGAGGAAGAUCUCAGAAUCUGAAAGAAGAGUAUAAUUUGUCUAAGGCAACAAAAGUAAGUCAAGACCAAAAGGAUAAUCUAACUCUCUUGACCUCAGACUAAAUCAACCAACCACCAAAUGAAAAAAACCUAGCCACUGAACUAUCACUUUGGCUCUCUGAUCGUUCCGCCCUUGCAAUUUUAAAAAUAAUAGGGACAUAACACCAAACAUGAAAAACAAAGCCUCAAGAAUCCAGUACUUCCCCAUGAAAGAAUAGCAAGUAUAUUAUGCAUAUAGGUGAGUUUCAUUGAUAUUUCAGGAAGGGCCUCUCUUAAUUGAAAAUAUAUUUAGGGAGUUCCCGUUGUGGCGCAGUGGUUAACGAAUCCGACUAGGAACCAUGAGGUUGCGGGUUCGGUCCCUGCCCUUGCUCAGUGGGUGAAGGAUCCGGCGUUGCCGUGAGCUGUGGUGUAGGUUGCAGACGCGGCUUGGAUCCCGCAUUGCUGUGGCUCUGGCGUGGGCCGGUGGCUACAACUCCGAUUCAACCCCUAGCCUGGGAACCUCCAUAUGCCGCGGGUGCGGCCCAAGAAAUAGCAACAACAACAA